This is a long non-coding RNA of Lates calcarifer (barramundi perch), 2765 nucleotides long. RefSeq lists it as uncharacterized. The record is from RefSeq and is a predicted model, not a curated record. The transcript has 2 exons. NCBI's taxonomy places the organism in Eukaryota, Metazoa, Chordata, Actinopteri, Centropomidae.
CCCACAUUCAAGUAUUUCUCUGGAUCACAGACCUACAACUGGAAUCUCUUAUUCACUAAAGUAUUCAGACCCUUCGCUGUGGAUCCACGCUGUGUUCAGUUGUACUCUGAAGUCAGAAUUUCUGAGUUCCUAGUCAACCUGAACGCACCCUGAAAUCAGAUUUCAAACUCAGAAAGUUGGAGAAACCCCACCAACCCCAACUUAAGAAUCCAAGGUGGCUGCUCCUCACAUCAGUUCACUGAAAAACAAAGGUAUCUGUUGCUCCUGUCCUCUUCAUCUGACAUGUUCUUCUGGUGGAGCAGAUUUGUUUUGAUUCUUCUAAAGAGCAACAACAACAACAGUCUUUUCUGUGAGUGUCCAUGUUUUUCAGACUUCUCAACAGGAACGCCGUCACCUCAGAAGUGACGUCACUCCCAGCUCUGACCUCCAAUGUAAAUGGAAGGCACCAUUGUUCACAGUGAGGAAGGAUGGAGCAGGAGAUCGUCAGGUGAAUCGGUGUAGCAUCAGCAGUGUGCACAUUGUUUCGGAUCAUUGUGGUGAAGAGGGAGCUGAGCCUGAAGGCAAAGCUUUCGAUUUAUCCAUUGAUCUGCAUUCGGACACUCACCUGUGGUCAUGAGACCUGAAAGAGCAAGAUUGUGGACACAAGCGGCUGAAAUGAGUUUCUGGGCUCAGCCUCAGAGACAGGGUGAGGAGCUCGGAGUAAAGCCACUGCUCCUUGGUGUUGAAAGGAGCCAGUUGAGGUUGUUUGGGCAUCUGAUCAGGAUCCUCCUGGGAACCUUCCUUUGGAGGUUUUCUAGAACUCUCUGGAUGGAUUGUCUGACCAUCUGACCGGGGAACACCCCAGGAUCCUCCAGGAGGAGCUGGAAAAUGUUGCUGGGGAGAGGGAUGUCUGCCAGAUUAACCCAAUUAACCUGCUGUGACCAUGAUCUGACCCUGGAUAAGCAGAAGAAAAUGGACAGAUGGGUUAAUGCGAGUAACUGGUCUGAUCAGUCCCUCUCAUUCUGUGUUUUUUCAAACUCAAACCAUUAAGACCAAGGAACUUUGUGGCAAGGCUUAGAUCAGGGUCAAGGUCUAAAACCAUUUCUAAAGAUAUGAGUGUUCCCUGGACUCAAUAACUGUAGAGUGGAAGAAGUCUGGAACCAUCAGGACUCUUCUAGAGUGUCUGAGUAACCAGUCAUCAAAGGUCUUGGUCAGGGAGGUGAAGUAAAUGUGUGACAACUAAAUAAUACAUAUAUACAUACUAUAAAUACAGUUCAUCCUGGAGGGAACAUGAAUAUCUGAAUAUAUUUUACAAAAAGCUAAAAAUGUGAACCUCAUGGUGGCGCUACAGGAACGUUGAGAUCUAAUUAAGUAUUGUUUUUGAAUUUAAAGAGUCCUUUGGUUUUGUAAAAGGAGAUUUAAAUCAAAUUUAAGAUUAUUAUUAUUAAAUGAAGCUGAGUUUUAACAGGUUCAAAAUGUCGUGUGUUUCAAAACCAAACAGCUGUGAGUGACUGUGUGUCUGUUGUUCAGUGCAGAUCUAUAAAUAUCCGGCUACAUGACAUUUACAGUCAACACAAUGUAAAGACAUUUACGACAUGUGUGCUCACCUCCUUUAAAUACAUGUGCACACACUGAUGGUAUAUUUAACCUUCACAACUACAAACAGAAGCUGCAGCAGGAAGAGUCGAAGAAAGUUUAAACAAAAUUAUUUUAAACGUCUUGAGAAUCGCAGGGAUUAGAAAUAAUGUGACAAAGAUAAUUGUGAUAUAAGAUUUAACAUUACCUGAUGAUCGUAAUGUUUCUUUAAAUGUUGUGUUUUAGGUCUCGAAAAUUCUGAUACACUGAAGUGUUAUGAGUUUAUUUGAGUGUUCAAGCCCCAUAAAAUGAGCAGAGAAUAUUCAUCAUAUUUUGAAAGAGUUUCUUAAUUAAAUUUAAAUGUAAUUAAAUAAAAUGCAGGAUAAUAUAAUUCAAAUAUUACUGUUGAAUGUUGAAUGUGAAAUGACAUUUAUAUGGAAGCCCCGAAAGGCAAGAGAUAUUUCUUUUAAAUUUCAUUUAUUUAUUUGUUAUCAAUGAAAACUGGUGAUUUUUUUUCACCUAUAUUUAACCUUUAUAACCUGCCCUGUCUUGCAGACAGUCUCUGCAAAUUAAAGUACAUUUUUAGCCAAAAGAAAAGACUUUCAUGUUACAUAAGUUGCUAACACACACAGUGUGUACAUCCUCUGUUACCUGGAAGAAAACAUCAGUUUAGUGCUUUUAGUCUGAUCUACUCAGGGGUAUCGGUGGAUGUAGAUCAACCCCUUGUGGCCAAAAUGAGAAUUACAAGACAAACACUUCAAAGUAUCCUGACAAAAAAUCUCUCUUACCUUUCAGAGCUUCCCUACAUUAACUGUAAACAGACUAAUAACAUGGUAACGACGGUAAAAUGAUAUUUUAUCUGUUUCACCCUCAGCUCAUUGAAAAGUUUAAUGAGUAGCAGCUUGUGAUGAAGCUUCUUCAGUCCUGGUGUAGUUCUACUGCUGCUCCACAUGAGGGCGCCACCACACAGACAAACACAGAGUCUACUAUGCUCAGAAACUUCCACAGUGUAACUAUAAAAGUGGAAAAUAACGCAGACAUUUUAAUUUUGUCCUGUCAUAUAACAUCGUGUCAAUGUGAACUCGUUAUCUCUCAGUUGUGUUUCCUAACUCCUCAUCUGUUGUUUUUCAUAUGAUGCAGAUGAAAAUAAAUCUUCAGCCAAGAGUGCUUUUCAUAAAAAUAAAAAGUAUCUGCUGUAACGAGGACACACA